Molecule: small nucleolar RNA, 214 nt
Organism: Vombatus ursinus (common wombat)
Lineage: Eukaryota; Metazoa; Chordata; Mammalia; Diprotodontia; Vombatidae
Gene: U3
Rfam family: Small nucleolar RNA U3
About the family: Small nucleolar RNAs (snoRNAs) are involved in the processing and modification of rRNA in the nucleolus. There are two main classes of snoRNAs: the box C/D class, and the box H/ACA class.
Source: Ensembl
AAGACUGUGCUUUUAGGGAUCAUUUUUAUAGUAUGUUACUAGAGAAUUAUGGCUGAAAGUAUAGAAUGGAGGUAACCAUGAGGAGGAGCUGUGGUGUUAUCUUCUGAGUGUGAAGCUGGUUUGUGACACUGCUGAUCAGCAGCUGUCACCUACCAUUGAUGAUCGUUUUUCCUUACUUUGACUUGGGUGAGAGGAAGAGAACAUGGGCUGAGUG